CGGCUGUAGCCAAAUCAAACAUCAGAGAGAAGUUUACUGGCCGGUUGUCGUGAGAUCUCUUCGAUCUCUGUCGACCAAUCUGCUUACUGAACUUAUUAUAUUC
Molecule: small nucleolar RNA, 103 nt
Organism: Alnus glutinosa
Lineage: Eukaryota; Viridiplantae; Streptophyta; Magnoliopsida; Fagales; Betulaceae
Product: small nucleolar RNA snoR109
Exons: 1
Source: RefSeq, a predicted model, not a curated record